GUUGUAUGAUCGAGAGGGGGUGUCCAGGGUCACAACUUUGAAGACCACAGGGACCGCCAUUCAGAGAGCCACGUAAAGUGGUGUGGGUGGCCUCCUCGCGACCGGAGAAAUUUAUAGCAGAGGCCUCCGAGCCCCUAAACCCAUCGCUGAGCGUUCUUCAGAGCCCUGCCUUUCUCGGGCUUUAUCACGGCCUGUUUGUCUUACUUAAACUGAACACCCAGAUGCCGGGCGUGAGACUAGCAAUGUGGGGUUUCUAUGUUAUGUAGCCAAACUGGGUUUUAAACUAGAUUGAAAAUCUUUUCUGAAAGGUAAAACGGGUAUGGUCCCUCUCAGACCAACCUUUCAUGAUAUUCCCGUGGCCCCAAUAGUCCAGGGGCUGGUCUUGAUGUUCUGUGAAAGGUAUACACCCGCCUCUGACCCAGUGGUCUCCAUCUUCCAGGGCUGUGUGCUCACAGAUUCCUCUUAAGAGUUCACUUCUUCCCAACAGCUUCGCUCCAGGUCCAUGAGGCCCAGGACUUGCUGGCAAAUUGACCUUGUCCAUACCAGGGCUUCUGUGUCACCAAUGCCUGCUUUCUGGUCCUACCUAUGGUAGUUCCUGCUCUUUUGUUUCUCAGAUCUUUACCCUUCGUGGUCCCCUAUUCUCACCAAGAAACCACAGUCAGCUGGCUUUUCCUAUUGCUUCUUCAGCUUUCCUGUGGUCUGAUUUUGAAUUCCACUUUAGAAAAAUGCUUCCGUGGGCCCUGCAGGAUGCCUCAGCCUACAAAGCUGCUAUCAAGCCAGAGGAUCUGAGUUCAGUCCUUAAAGGCUGGGUGAAGACGGAAGGAAAGAGUAGACUAAGUUGUCUCAGACCCCUGCAUGAGUACCACAUAUCACACAACAAUAAAAUACUACCCUCUUUCUUAUGAA
RNAcentral lists this long non-coding RNA (906 nucleotides) under Rattus norvegicus (Norway rat). RNAcentral describes it as "long non-coding RNA NONRATT001298". The record is from RNAcentral. Lineage: Eukaryota; Metazoa; Chordata; Mammalia; Rodentia; Muridae.